Long non-coding RNA from Humulus lupulus (European hop), 383 nucleotides. RefSeq lists it as uncharacterized. The transcript has 3 exons. The record is from RefSeq and is a predicted model, not a curated record. Lineage: Eukaryota; Viridiplantae; Streptophyta; Magnoliopsida; Rosales; Cannabaceae.
GAGAGAGAGAGAGAGAGAGGCGUGAAAGAGAGAGAAGGUGGAGGAGAAAGGAAGAAGAAGAAGGAGGUCCUAGGUAUGGUUUUCUUAUGGUUCCUUGUUAUUUUUUUUUAGAUUAAGGUUUGUCUUCCCCAUCAUCUUAUGUCUUUUCUUCUAUGUUCUUCUUCUUCAUGGGUUUCAAAAAAAACCCUAGGGUAUUCAAUGGUGAUUAUCACUUGGGUGUUGAUCAAGUUGUGUUCUUGAUUUUACAAUCAAGAGAGGCUCGUUGAGAAGUUGUGGUUUUACUUAGCUUGGACCUGAGGUAGCAAAUAGGUUUCUCUGUGGUACGCGUGGUGAUGUGGGGAGUUCUGUCGUCCUGGUGUGUAUGGCGUGGGGCAUCCUAUGGA